UAUAUAUAUAUAUAUAUAAAGUUGUAUGUUUUAAACCUGCUUUUAUAAGGGCUAGUUCCAGUAGUCCUCGCCAGGUCAAAAAGAAAAGCGGUCCACAGUUCAGGGGCCAGAAGACGCGGACUGUACCCCUCCGGCUCCUGCAAAAUCCAGGCUCCAAAAGCCCCAUCCUUGCAGACCUCAGGGGGUGGGAUGGCACACAAAGAGGCUCUGAAAGGUAUCUGGGACCAUGCAAUGCUUCAAGGGCGUUUGACUGAUUCUACUGUUGUUAUCAAGUACCCAAUGGAAUUGCUUAUAGUGAAUUUGGCAAUAAUACCCUAUAGAAGCAGGACUUUGAACUUAUAUAGUACUUUUGAUCCGGGGAUCUAAAAGGAGGGGGUCUGUCAUUAUUAUUAUUAUUAUUAUUCCCAUUUUACAGAGGGUGAAACCGAGGCAGACAACAUUUUCCCAAGGUUGUACUGCAAAGUAGCUGCAAAAGGGAGGUGGACAAAGAAAUUAGCUCUUCCCCUCAUACCCUUUUUUUUUUUUUUUCCAUGAACCAAACUGAUCAAGAGCGCUUUCUCUGAUACAUAUCAUAAACUGGAACCAAACUCCUGGUGUUGAGAACAGCAAGGUCUUUCUGCUCAUUGCUGCAUGCUUCCAUGGCAAGCGAAAACCACCCGGUAAAUCUCCUGGAAGGUGACCGGCAUUCACAGCCCACUGGCCUGGAUCCGGCAGCAUUUGCUUUGCCAACUCUUGCUGCCUCAUUGCCCUCAUUCUUGCCCUUCUUUUGGCCAGCGUGGCCAGAACAGGCAACUUCCUAAGAAGGAAACAAGGAAAGCUGGAUUUCUUGAACCUCUACCAUGAGGGUUGUCCAGGUGGCAUUUUGCCCUCUUACUAGUGGGGACUCGAGGACGGCCACUGCACCAGGAGGCUGGGAAAAAACCCAUGUCUUAAAAAGCAUUGAUGUAAGGAAGCAGUUGACAGGAAAAUCAAGCAGUGUUGUAGAAGAGGCUUUAUUAUUAUUUUUUUUAACCAACAGGAAAAAAAAAAAAAAAAAGUUGAGCUUUGCGAGUAGAAACUCAGAGCCUGUUCAAAAUAGCAUUACCAGUGGAAAAACAGGUAGAGAGGUGGCCCCUCCGUGACCCACGCAUAUCCGCGCUGCAACAGCCACGGGAGCUCGGUGGGGAACAAGAGGCUGCACGAAGCCCUCCAGCACCAAACCAAGGAUUCAGCCAAGGAUUUUACUGCCACAGCAAAUUUAUACUGAAAAAUAAAUACAUAACAAUAAUUAAAAAUCCCA
Molecule: long non-coding RNA, 1279 nt
Filed under: Anas platyrhynchos platyrhynchos (common mallard)
Lineage: Eukaryota; Metazoa; Chordata; Aves; Anseriformes; Anatidae
Description: lncRNA (ENSAPLG00000018562.1)
Source: RNAcentral